CUCCUCACAGAGCUACAAUUCACAGAGUUAAACCACCAAAGUGGUUUAACUCUGUGAAUUGUAGCUCUGUGAGGGG
Non-coding RNA from Podarcis lilfordi (Lilford's wall lizard), 76 nucleotides. NCBI's taxonomy places the organism in Eukaryota, Metazoa, Chordata, Lepidosauria, Squamata, Lacertidae. The record is from the annotation of a GenBank genome assembly.